This 640-nucleotide unclassified non-coding RNA is filed under the name Hevea brasiliensis (rubber tree). Lineage: Eukaryota; Viridiplantae; Streptophyta; Magnoliopsida; Malpighiales; Euphorbiaceae. The record is from RNAcentral.
GUCAAUAUUGGAGCGCUGCUCCUUGCUGCUACUUCCAUGCCCAAAAUCAGUAGGCAGCAUUUCUUGAGGCACCUUUUCAUCAGCUGCAUUAUGGGGGGCGUUGGUAGCUUCAUGAGUAUUGUUACUUUCUGCAGGGACUUCUUGAUCAAUGUCAUUCAACACAGGAACAAGAUUGUGAUUGUUUGGAGAGUGAAACUGCAUCUGGGAGGCCGUUGGAAGACCAGGAGAGAGGCUGGGUGGGAAGUGAUCAUUGCGAUGUUGAUUCUUCAGGUCCAGCAGUUGCAAAUUCAUUAACCUUCUGCCUUGAAGUUCGAUGGCUUGCUGUAAUUCAGCCUCCUGCUCUAUUUUUCUUCUCAACAUCAUCUCAUGUGAAUUAUAUAACAUUCUUGCUCCAAAGGGAAGGUCAAACGGCUCCCUAGAUUCAAGAGCUGAUGGGCUUAAACAGGUCGACAGAUCUCCUCUAUCAAUUGGAUGUUGUUGUUGCUGAAGCUGCUUCUUAUCCGCGAUUUUUCCCUUUUCUUUGUAGGGCUUUACAAGUACCCGAGAAUCACACACAAAAUGUGGGUUUCCUUUAGCCAAGAUCAUCUUAACAGUUUCAGAGUAGAUAAAUGUAACGAAUCCAAACAUUCGCUUCUGCUGA